GAGUUUGAUCCUGGCUCAGGAUGAACGCUAGCGGCAGGCUUAACACAUGCAAGUCGAGGGGUAUAGUUCUUGGAGCUAGAGACCGGCGCACGGGUGCGUAACGCGUAUGCAAUCUACCUUUUACAGAGGGAUAGCCCAGAGAAAUUUGGAUUAAUACCUCAUAGUAUAGCAGUUUCGCAUGAAACCACUAUUAAAGUCACAACGGUAAAAGAUGAGCAUGCGUCCCAUUAGCUAGUUGGUAAGGUAACGGCUCACCAAGGCGACGAUGGGUAGGGGUCCUGAGAGGGAGAUCCCCCACACUGGUACUGAGACACGGACCAGACUCCUACGGGAGGCAGCAGUGAGGAAUAUUGGUCAAUGGACGCAAGUCUGAACCAGCCAUGCCGCGUGCAGGAUGACGGUCCUAUGGAUUGUAAACUGCUUUUGUACAGGAAGAAACCCUGGCUCGUGAGCCAGAUUGACGGUACUGUAAGAAUAAGGAUCGGCUAACUCCGUGCCAGCAGCCGCGGUAAUACGGAGGAUCCAAGCGUUAUCCGGAAUCAUUGGGUUUAAAGGGUCCGUAGGCGGUCUAGCAAGUCAGUGGUGAAAUCUCCCCGCUCAACGGGGAAACGGCCAUUGAUACUACUAGACUUGAAUUAUUAGGAAGUAACUAGAAUAUGUAGUGUAGCGGUGAAAUGCUUAGAUAUUACAUGGAAUACCAAUUGCGAAGGCAGGUUACUACUAAUUGAUUGACGCUGAUGGACGAAAGCGUGGGGAGCGAACAGGAUUAGAUACCCUGGUAGUCCACGCCGUAAACGAUGGAUACUAGCUGUUGGGCGCAAGUUCAGUGGCUAAGCGAAAGUGAUAAGUAUCCCACCUGGGGAGUACGUUCGCAAGAAUGAAACUCAAAGGAAUUGACGGGGGCCCGCACAAGCGGUGGAGCAUGUGGUUUAAUUCGAUGCAACGCGAAGAACCUUACCAAGGCUUGACAUAUAGAGGAAAAGUGCAGAAAUGUACUCCCCGCAAGGUCUCUAUACAGGUGGUGCAUGGUUGUCGUCAGCUCGUGUCGUGAGAUGUUGGGUUAAGUCCCGCAACGAGCGCAACCCUCGUCCUAUGUUGCCAGCACGUAAUGGUGGGAACUCAUGGGAUACUGCCGGUGACAAACCGGAGGAAGGUGGGGAUGACGUCAAGUCAUC
This 1175-nucleotide ribosomal RNA is filed under the name uncultured bacterium. RNAcentral describes it as "bacterial SSU rRNA". It matches the Rfam family "Bacterial small subunit ribosomal RNA", at positions 9 to 1194 of the family's 1533-position model. The record is from RNAcentral.